GCUGUACAUUUUAAAAAGCAAAUCACGUUGUUCCAUAUCAUUUUCAAUCUGAAAAAUUUCGGACACACAUAGUCAUGAAUUGCUGAUCGGAUUUUCGGUUAAGUCUGCCAAGUCCUGGUGCUGCUCGGAGAAUUUUGACUCGUCAUCAACCUCAGCCUUCAUGUCAGUCUUCAGUUGGAGCAUUCAUAGCACCUUGUUACUGUGGCAAGCAAAGUUAUAGUUGUACUCUCAAAGAGAAUGGACAAAAAUACUGUGAAUGCUACGAAGGAUACAUUCAAAAGAAUGAAACCUGUGAAGAAAAACAAAACUUAUUGUUAUUCAUACUAUUGUGCAUAACAUCAGGCGUCCUCCUUGUAUCAACAUUAACUUUAAUCAUUGCUAGCCGAAAGUUCAGAGGCAAAGUAAACAAGAGUUAAGCGUAUUUUAUAAUCUUUAAUAUCUGUUUUAUGUUGAAUAAAAUAAAUUUUUAAGUUAAA
Long non-coding RNA from Parasteatoda tepidariorum (common house spider), 476 nucleotides. The record is from RefSeq and is a predicted model, not a curated record. NCBI's taxonomy places the organism in Eukaryota, Metazoa, Arthropoda, Arachnida, Araneae, Theridiidae.